GCUCCGGUGGCCUAGUGGUUAGAGCGUCCGCCUCUGUUGCGGUAGUUCGUGGGUUUGAUUCCCGGUCGAGUCA
This is a non-coding RNA of Potamilus streckersoni, 73 nucleotides long. The record is from the annotation of a GenBank genome assembly. NCBI's taxonomy places the organism in Eukaryota, Metazoa, Mollusca, Bivalvia, Unionida, Unionidae.